UUGAAAGGGAAACGAUUGAAGUCAGUCGUACCAACGGGAAAUCAACCUUUUGAGCUUGGUCUCGUGGGUUUUGAAGAGUUUCAAAGCCUUCGGAUUCGCGAGAUUGGGAUCUCUCGGUGUACUUUCUCGUACGGUUAGUCAACAUCGGUUUUGAAUGUCAUAAAAUGACUGGAGGAAUGUAGCUUCGAUCUCGUAUUGAAGUGUUAUAGCCUUUGGUAGAUGUGAUGUUUGAGACCGAGGAUUGCAACGGAUACCCUUCAGGGCUAUUCGUCUGAUCUCUGAUACGUUGCCUUGAUGUUGAAAGCGUGCUUAUGAUAUUGAGGUAUUACGGUCAAAAGGUUAGAACGGAUUACAUUCGUUAAGGAUGUUGACGUA
RNAcentral lists this ribosomal RNA (375 nucleotides) under uncultured Glomeromycotina. RNAcentral's name for it is "LSU rRNA". The record is from RNAcentral. Lineage: Eukaryota; Fungi; Glomeromycota.